This 515-nucleotide ribosomal RNA is filed under the name Parmelina tiliacea. RNAcentral's name for it is "eukaryotic LSU rRNA". The stretch from base 179 to 334 matches the Rfam family "5.8S ribosomal RNA". Lineage: Eukaryota; Fungi; Ascomycota; Lecanoromycetes; Lecanorales; Parmeliaceae. The record is from RNAcentral.
CUUCCCCCUCCCGGGGGCUCCGGCCCUCAACUCUUCACCCGUUGACGAUAUACCUUUGUUGCUUUGGCGGACCUCGGGACCACUCUCGCACAGGCUUAUAAAUCGGCGAGCGUCCGUCAGAGGCGCCCUUGUAAAUCGACUUAAUUCGUGAAGUCCGAGUUUAAAGAGUAAUAGUAAAAACUUUCAACAACGGAUCUCUUAGGUUCCAGCAUCGAUGAAGAACGCAGCGAAAUGCGAUAAGUAAUGUGAAUUGCAGAAUUCAGUGAAUCAUCGAAUCUUUGAACGCACAUUGCGCCCCCUCGGUAUCCCGGGGCCCAUGCCUGUUCGAGCGUCAUUACACCCCUUCAAGCCGCGGCUUGGUAUUGGGCUCUCGCCCGCGUGGCGUGUCCGAAAAGCAGUGGCGGUCCGGUGCGACUUUAAGCGUAGUAAAUUCGAUCCCGCUUUGAAGUACUCGUCCGCGCCCGGCAGACAACCCCAUCAUUCGUUAUUGACCUCGGAUCAGGUAGGGGUACCCG